Acanthosepion pharaonis is the source of this 99-nucleotide non-coding RNA. Lineage: Eukaryota; Metazoa; Mollusca; Cephalopoda; Sepiida; Sepiidae. The record is from the annotation of a GenBank genome assembly.
GAUGAAGCACCGGUUCUCAUAUGAUCACCAAAGUUAAGCAAUGUCGAGCCCGGUCAGUACCUAAAUGGGUGACCACUUGGGAGUACCAGGUGCUGUAAG